AUACGGAGGGUGCAAGCGUUAAUCGGAAUUACUGGGCGUAAAGCGCGCGUAGGCGGCUCGAUAAGUCGGAUGUGAAAGCCCCGGGCUCAACCUGGGAACUGCAUUCGAAACUGCCGAGCUAGAGUUUGAUAGAGGAGAGUGGAAUUCCACAUGUAGCGGUGAAAUGCGUAGAUAUGUGGAGGAACACCAGUGGCGAAGGCGGCUCUCUGGAUCAAAACUGACGCUGAGGUGCGAAAGCGUGGGUAGCAAACAGGAUUAGAAACCCCAGUAGUCC
RNAcentral lists this ribosomal RNA (274 nucleotides) under uncultured bacterium. RNAcentral describes it as "partial 16S ribosomal RNA". It matches the Rfam family "Bacterial small subunit ribosomal RNA", at positions 523 to 796 of the family's 1533-position model. The record is from RNAcentral.